GAGUUUGAUCGUGGCUCAGAUUGAACGCUGGCGGCAUGCCUUACACAUGCAAGUCAAACGGCAGCAUGAUCUAGCUUGCUAGAUUGAUGGCGAGUGGCGAACGGGUGAGUAAUACAUCGGAACGUGACCCUGUAGUGGGGGAUAACUAGUCGAAAGAUUAGCUAAUACCGCAUACGACCUGAGGGUGAAAGUGGGGGACCGCAAGGCCUCAUGCUAUAGGAGCGGCCGAUGUCUGAUUAGCUAGUUGGUGGGGUAAAGGCCCACCAAGGCGACGAUCAGUAGCAGGUCUGAGAGGACGAUCAGCCACACUGGGACUGAGACACGGCCCAGACUCCUACGGGAGGCAGCAGUGGGGAAUUUGGACAAUGGGCGAAAGCCUGAUCCAGCAAUGCCGCGUGUGUGAAGAAGGCCUCGG
RNAcentral lists this ribosomal RNA (415 nucleotides) under uncultured microorganism. RNAcentral describes it as "bacterial SSU rRNA". It matches the Rfam family "Bacterial small subunit ribosomal RNA", at positions 9 to 420 of the family's 1533-position model. The record is from RNAcentral.